This 253-nucleotide ribosomal RNA is filed under the name uncultured bacterium. Its description in RNAcentral is "partial 16S ribosomal RNA". It matches the Rfam family "Bacterial small subunit ribosomal RNA", at positions 524 to 776 of the family's 1533-position model. The record is from RNAcentral.
UACGUAGGGUGCAAGCGUUGUCCGGAAUUAUUGGGCGUAAAGGGCUCGUAGGCGGUUUGUCGCGUCGGGCGUGAAAUCCACUGGCUUAACUGGUGGCUUGCUUUCGAUACGGGCAGACUGGAGGUAUGCAGGGGAGAACGGAAUUCCUGGUGUAGCGGUGAAAUGCGCAGAUAUCAGGAGGAACACCGAUGGCGAAGGCAGGUCUCUGGGCAUUAACUGACGCUGAGGAGCGAAAGCAUGGGGAGCGAACAGG